ACAGCUACAACGCGUCGUGUUUGUUUACUAUCGAGUUCUUCGUUGGCUCGAUCCGCAAUCAAGAUGCGUUGCCUAGUAACGCGCACUACGUCGAGGCUUCUAACACGCUACCUAGUGCACCUAAGCAUACACACAAGGUCACCAUGCACAAAAAAAUCUGUGUUUUUCCCAGGGUGCAUUAAGGUCGUGUUACGCAAGGGACCCCUCGGAUAUCUCCUUCAGGAGCCCACUGAGGAGGCCAGGGUGAUCGAAGAUAACCCAGCUCUUCAGGACAAGUCGGCACCAAAGAAGUAGGAGCUCGUCAGGCAAAACGCUCUUGCUGUGGUCCGUCAGGGAGGAAGCGAUGCCUCUGAUGAAAAAGAAGUUCUUGGCAAUUACAUCCUGCAGUUUAUAAAUCUUUCAGGUAGCUUCUUGAAAAUGACAUGGGUUACAUCUAUCUAAUCACGAACCUUCAGCAGGAAGAGGCUGCUAAUUAUGCCCGCGGUGUUAACAAAAUUCAGUCUCUUCUCAGUUACUGUAUGUGUUGAAAAAUCCAGGUGCACCAGCAGACUCGUCGGAGGGUGACCAGAUGUUGGUUGGCUUUGCUCAUGCGAAGAGUAUGAGGCAGGAGAUUUGGAACAGCAGGGCUGAUGGUUAUGCAUCCUUUAUAUUGGGGACACAGAUGUACAAGCUACAGCAAUACCUGCGAAGUCAGACGCAGUCUGCCCGUCCGCCCAUGGAUUCCUCAAGUGCAGUGUUUAUUUUUUGCUUCUAAGAAGGAAUUGUUUGCCGUUGGUUCCACUAGUAUGAAUAACAUCAUAGCUUGUUUUACAUGUACACUAUACUUUAAUUAAUACAGAGGUAUAAUUUAAGAAAUCGAAGUACAUUGAAAAUGUUGUUUUUCACCAACAGAAAUGGAUGAUGACGAUCAGUUAGAGAGUGCGAUGCUGAACAUCUCCCCCUCCAAGCUACAGUUGCGGACCUCCACGACCACUGUCAUCGUCAUCAUCGUCCUCAGAUGCUGAACUGGGACGGUCUGUGGGACCAGGAAAAGGUUUUUACACAUCAGGCUCAGCACUGGAGCACAGUUCUGUUGAAUUGUGAUAUGAAAUGCUCUCCAAGUCUGAAUAAAAAGCCUUUCUUAUUUUGUCAGUGUUUUGGCCAGAACAUGGCCAAACUACAAUAUACUAACUGUUCAAGGGGCUAUGAAUUGAUUCCCUGACCACCAUGAACUGAUAUCAACCACAAUCAGGUGUUUUCUGCUGCCCUCCCCAUAACACCUCCUGGCACCAAGCAACUGCCACCAGUCAAUGCCUCGACAGCUCAGAAAACUCCCGUGGCCCUUCCCAAAGAGCUGAUGUUUCUUGUCCCGGAACAAUCAGCUUCAACACGAUCUAUGAGACCGGUUUCAACUGCAGACAUCAGCACCACAGACAACUCUCCAGUCUGAAGGACACCUAUAAUUGAGGAAUGUGGCAAAGAUGUUAAGAUAACACUUCAUAUAGUGUUCUACAAUCAGCUGAGGCAUCACAUGCAUCAGGGGAUGGAAAAAGAAAUGACCUGGAAGGAAUUUCAGAAGUCUGCAUUUUAUGAGAUGGAAAGACAGAGAUGGGUGGCAGAAAGGAUAAAACAAAAAUCUCAUCUCUCACUCAUUUUCUACCGCUUAUCCGAACUACUUGGGUCACGGGGAGCCUGUGUCUAUCUCAGGCGUCAUCGGGCAUCAAGGCAGGAUACACCCUGGACGGAGUGACAACCCAUCACA
Molecule: long non-coding RNA, 1741 nt
Organism: Tachysurus fulvidraco (yellow catfish)
Lineage: Eukaryota; Metazoa; Chordata; Actinopteri; Siluriformes; Bagridae
Exons: 8
Source: RefSeq, a predicted model, not a curated record